Molecule: ribosomal RNA, 472 nt
Filed under: uncultured bacterium
Lineage: Bacteria
Description: bacterial SSU rRNA
Rfam family: Bacterial small subunit ribosomal RNA
Source: RNAcentral
UGGGGAAUUUUUCGCAAUGGGCGCAAGCCUGACGAAGCAACGCCGCGUGGAGGAUGAAGGUCUUCGGAUUGUAAACUCCUGUCGACCGGGACGAAUGCACCCGACCUAAUACGUCGAAGUGUUGACGGUACCGGUGGAGGAAGUCACGGCUAACUCUGUGCCAGCAGCCGCGGUAAUACAGAGGUGGCAAGCGUUGUUCGGAAUUACUGGGCGUAAAGGGCGCGUAGGCGGCCUUAUAAGUCUCGUGUGAAAGCCCUCGGCUUAACUGAGGAUCUGCACGGGAUACUGUAAGGCUCGAGUUCGGGAGAGGAAAGCGGAAUUCCGGGUGUAGCGGUGAAAUGCGUAGAUAUCCGGAGGAACACCAGUGGCGAAGGCGGCUUUCUGGACCGACACUGACGCUGAGGCGCGAAAGCUAGGGGAGCAAGCGGGAUUAGAUACCCCAGUAGUCCCUGAGCGGGCUGGCAAGGCGCAU